RNAcentral lists this long non-coding RNA (482 nucleotides) under Nicotiana benthamiana. RNAcentral's name for it is "long non-coding RNA (NBEN_LNC036874)". The record is from RNAcentral. Lineage: Eukaryota; Viridiplantae; Streptophyta; Magnoliopsida; Solanales; Solanaceae.
CCACAAAGCAAACGAAGAAAAGAAGGAGAAAUUUUGAUAUCGCCUAAUAAGAAUUAGCAAGCUUGAUAAUUAAUAAGGUUAAAAAUCUGUUGGAAGAAAGAGAAAAAAGUGAGGAAAGAAAAUAUGGAAAUAUUUUGUUCCACAAAUAAAGCCCCUAGCAAUUUGGAAUAAUUAGAUCAGAUACAUAUCAUUAACAACAGUUAGUUGACACCAUAAAGUUAAAUAAUGAAUUAAAAGAGAAGAGCUACAUAGUGAAAAUGAUAGAAGUGUAGUACUCUAAGUAUCAAUUUCUCAGGAGAGGGCUUAAAGAGGAGCUGAAAAUUUAAGUAGUCAAAUUUAAAAACGAAGAGGUUGGAUUAUUUCUACUCAAACUGAGGAGGAAAAAUGGUUUGAGAACGUGUAAAAAAAAUAAAUAUGAAAAGAUUUUGUUCCACAAAUCAAGCCUCUAAUUAAUAGUUUGAAAAGAUUUUGUUCCACAAANN